ACUACUGGAAACGGUGGCUAAUACCGCAUAACGUCGCAAGACCAAAGAGGGGGACCUUCGGGCCUCUUGCCAUCAGAUGUGCCCAGAUGGGAUUAGCUGGUUGGUGAGGUAACGGCUCACCAAGGCGACGAUCCCUAGCUGGUCUGAGAGGAUGACCAGCCACACUGGAACUGAGACACGGUCCAACUCCUACGGGAGGCGCAGUGGGAAUAUUGCACAAGGGGCGCAGCCUGAUGCAGCUGCCGCGUGAUGAGAGCCUUCGGGUUUAAAGACUUUAGCGGGAGGAAGGUGUUG
Molecule: ribosomal RNA, 294 nt
Filed under: Salmonella enterica subsp. enterica serovar Anatum
Lineage: Bacteria; Pseudomonadati; Pseudomonadota; Gammaproteobacteria; Enterobacterales; Enterobacteriaceae
Description: partial 16S ribosomal RNA
Rfam family: Bacterial small subunit ribosomal RNA
Source: RNAcentral